This 357-nucleotide long non-coding RNA is filed under the name Phoenix dactylifera (date palm). Its description in RNAcentral is "long non-coding RNA (PDAC_LNC012702)". The record is from RNAcentral. Lineage: Eukaryota; Viridiplantae; Streptophyta; Magnoliopsida; Arecales; Arecaceae.
GGUGAGCCGAGGGUAAAACCAACGUGUAAGGGUUUGAUUGUGAUCCCGAGAAAACAAUCGGGGAGGUUCUAGUCGGUGAGCCUGGAAAAACCGACCGAGUUCGUUGUGCGCUCGUAAAACAACAAGUUGGGUUGUGAGCUUGUAAAACAACCGGCUGUAAUCAGUAGGAUUAUAGUGAAAUUCCCAAGAGGUCUUGGGGAGUGGAUGUAGGUGCUGGGGUGCACCGAACCACUAUAUGUCCUUUGUGUUUGUAAUGCCUCUAGUUAUUGUCUAACUAACACACUUACUUACUUAGAUAAAUUGCUUGCUUAAUUCUUAUCCGCACUUCCCUUAGUUGCAAGCAUAUUUAAUCAAGUC